CCACUCCAUAUAAACCAAACACUCCUCCUUUGCCCGGCGUCCACAACCGACACUCGAACCCAUUCCCUAGGGUUCCAAUGUUGAUUACACAGGACAUGAGCACAUCUUGUAACAAGAACUAAACCAGAUGCUUGAUCAGAAGGCCCCUUACUAGGACUGUCGCCUUCAACGUCCCUAGAAGCAUCCCAGACAUUACUGACACCACGGUACCUAUGCUUGAUGAGUUCUACCCAGUAACUGAACACAGUGUACUCGCUGAAAUUGGUGACAAAGCGGAAUCACCAACGCUCUCCCUAGCAGUGUUCUGAAUCGACUCAAAGCCCAACACAAGAGGUACUGUACCAAAUUGAACUUCCACCAUGGUACUAAACUUGUCCAAAUGUCUCCUCUUAACUGGUUCUGCACGCACCUGCAAAAUGUACAAUUAGGAUCUUUUCCGUCCCUUCAAUACAACUCGGACUCCCAUUCGGACCUUCAAGACUCCAUCCCCUCCAGCGAAUUUAUACCCUUUUGUAUCUAGGGUACUUAGCGAAAUGAGAUUCAUUUUCAGGUCAGGAACAUGUCGAACGCAGGAACAUGUCGAACCUGAUCAAUUUUAUUAAAUGUUCCAUCUCGUAGCUUCAAUCUGACUUGACUGAUCCCAGCAAUACGGAAAGAUUGGUUGUUU
This 667-nucleotide long non-coding RNA is filed under the name Olea europaea subsp. europaea. The record is from RNAcentral. Lineage: Eukaryota; Viridiplantae; Streptophyta; Magnoliopsida; Lamiales; Oleaceae.